GGUAGGGUAAAGGCCUACCAAGACUAUGAUGUGUAGCUGGACUGAGAGGUUGAACAGCCACAUUGGGACUGAGACACGGCCCAAACUCCUACGGGAGGCAGCAGUAGGGAAUUUUCGGCAAUGGAGGAAACUCUGACCGAGCAACGCCGCGUGAACGAUGAAGUAUUUCGGUAUGUAAAGUUCUUUUAUUGAAGAAGAAAAAAUAGGGGAAAAACUAUCUUGACGCUAUUCAAUGAAUAAGCCCCGGCAAACUAUGUGCCAGCAGCCGCGGUAAUACAUAGGGGGCGAGCGUUAUCCGGAAUUAUUGGGCGUAAAGGGUGCGUAGGCGGUUUAAUAAGUCUAUAGUUUAAUUUCAGUGCUUAACACUGUCCUGCUGUAGAAACUAUUAAACUAGAGUGAGAUAGAGGCAAGUGGAAUUCCAUGUGUAGCGGUAAAAUGCGUAAAUAUAUGGAGGAACACCAGAGGCGUAGGCGGCUUGCUGGGUCUUUACUGACGCUGAGGCACGAAAGCGUGGGGAGCAAACAGGAUUAGAUACCCUGGUAGUCCACGCCGUAAACGAUGAGUACUAAGUGUCGGGGUUACUCGGUACUGAAGUUAACACAUUAAGUACUCCGCCUGAGUAGUACGUACGCAAGUAUGAAACUUAAAGGAAUUGACGGGACUCCGCACAAGCGGUGGAUCAUGUUGUUUAAUUCGAAGAUACACGAAAAACCUUACCAGGUCUUGACAUACUCUGCAAAGCUAUAGCAAUAUAGUGGAGGUUAUCAGGGAUACAGGUGGUGCAUGGUUGUCGUCAGCUCGUGUCGUGAGAUGUUAGGUUAAGUCCUAAAACGAGCGCAACCCUUGUCACUAGUUGCCAGCAUGUUAUGAUGGGCACUUUAGUGAGACUGCCAAUGAAAAAUUGGAGGAAGGUGAGGAUCACGUCAAAUCAUCAUGCCCCUUAUGAUCUGGGCUACAAACGUGAUACAAUGGCUGUUACAAAGAGUAGCUGAAACGCAAGUUCAUAGCCAAUCUCAUAAAAGCAG
This 1025-nucleotide ribosomal RNA is filed under the name 'Acharis ussuriensis' phytoplasma. RNAcentral describes it as "bacterial SSU rRNA". It matches the Rfam family "Bacterial small subunit ribosomal RNA", at positions 251 to 1285 of the family's 1533-position model. The record is from RNAcentral. Lineage: Bacteria; Bacillati; Mycoplasmatota; Mollicutes; Acholeplasmatales; Acholeplasmataceae.